UCUCUUCAGCAUCCGGCGCUUUCUGAGUGCGCCCUGUACAGGUGCCAGGUUAGGGUGCAUGGAUAAAAAGGGACCAGUUUCUCCCGUUGGCUGCUGUCACGUAAACCCGACCCUGAGUGGCUGAGGGCCAGGGCACAGUGGCUCACCGCUACACUGAUCUGCAUCACUACAUUUUAUGUGACUAUUUGCUUGCUCGUGUUGCCCACUGAUGGUGGCGGCCCCAGUAGUUCCUGACAAACGCUAGGCUUAAAUAUAUGUAUGAUGUGUGGACUAAGUGUGUGCCCCAUCUCUGGAUUCAUUUGUGCUACUGUCUCUGUGGUGCAGACAUAGUCCUUAGGCUGCACUUUGAGGCUCAUUUUCCUUCCUGGAGCCCUCGUCUUUCCCUUCAUUGUAUGGGAAAAACUCAAAGAGGAGAAGUUUUUGGAGCUUUGAAACAGGUACUUGGAGCCACAGCAGAAGCCACCAUACCCAGGACUUGUUCUUCUCGGCUCUCCACUCCUAAAAAUGUCGGCAGGGGCGUCCCCUUAUCUGCGAUAUUCCGAGGAAGGACGAUUUCUCCCUAGCCACCCCAGCAUAGUUCUUUAGUGACUCUGGCCUACGUGGGCUCCACUGGCAUACUGGCUUUGUAUGCUGGCAUGCCAGAACACAUGAUCGAGCAGAGACCACUAACAUUACUGCCCAGCACAGCUGAGUGAAUUUCUUCCUUCACACUCUAAGGACAGGACUGCAACAUGGAAAAAGAAAACUGAAAGUUCAGUCUCAUCUCCAGUAGCAUCUCAGGAAUCACAUCCCAGGAAUGAGCCAGCAGAGGACUCACUGUGAAGUCCAUCCAGGUCACAGUCACUCUACUAUAACUCCGUUUCCUAGGAAGUGACUCCGAGACUCACUCAAUGAAGGAAAUCCAGUCUGAAGAAACCUGAAGGAUUGAUGUGGUUUGAAUAAGAACGCCUCCCCCAUAGGCUUAUAUUUGGAAGCUUAGUCACCAGGGUAUGGCACUAUUUGAGAAGGAUUGGGUGCUGUGGCCUGAUAAAGUGGUUUUGGCUUUGUUGGAGAAAGCAUGUCAUUGGGGGUAGGCUUUGGGGUUUAAAAAAGUCCAUAUCAGGCCCAAUCUCCCCCACCCCCAUCUGUUUGCCUGAGGAUCAAGUUGUAGCUCUCAGCUACUGCUCUAGCACCAUGUGUACUGCCAUAGUAACUACCAUGAUGGUAAUGGACUAAGCCUCUAAAACUAUAAGCAAGCCCCCAAUUAAAUGCUUGUUUUUCUAC
RNAcentral lists this long non-coding RNA (1263 nucleotides) under Mus spretus (western wild mouse). Its description in RNAcentral is "lncRNA (ENSMSPG00010010679.1)". Lineage: Eukaryota; Metazoa; Chordata; Mammalia; Rodentia; Muridae. The record is from RNAcentral.